This 253-nucleotide ribosomal RNA is filed under the name uncultured bacterium. RNAcentral describes it as "partial 16S ribosomal RNA". It matches the Rfam family "Bacterial small subunit ribosomal RNA", at positions 524 to 776 of the family's 1533-position model. The record is from RNAcentral.
UACGUAGGUGGCAAGCGUUGUCCGGAAUUAUUGGGCGUAAAGGGCUCGCAGGCGGUUCCUUAAGUCUGAUGUGAAAGCCCCCGGCUCAACCGGGGAGGGUCAUUGGAAACUGGAAGACUGGAGUGCAGAAGAGGAGAGUGGAAUUCCACGUGUAGCGGUGAAAUGCGUAGAUAUGUGGAGGAACACCAGUGGCGAAGGCGACUCUCUGGUCUGUAACUGACGCUGAGGCGCGAAAGCGUGGGGAGCAAACAGG